This 406-nucleotide ribosomal RNA is filed under the name uncultured bacterium. RNAcentral describes it as "partial 16S ribosomal RNA". It matches the Rfam family "Bacterial small subunit ribosomal RNA", at positions 28 to 526 of the family's 1533-position model. The record is from RNAcentral.
GACGAACGCUGGCGGCGUGCCUAAUACAUGCAAGUAGAACGAGUUGCGAACGGGUGAGUAACGCGUGGUAACCUGCCUCAUAGCGGGGGAUAACUACCGGAAACGGUAGCUAAUACCGCAUACCAUCAGAUGUGCCCAGCUGGGAUUAGCUAGUUGGUGGGGUAACGGCUCACCUAGGCGACGAUCCCUAGCUGGUCUGAAAGGAUGACCAGCCAAACUGGAACUGGGACACGGUCCAGACUCCUACGGGAGGCAGAAGUGGGAAAUAUUGCACGAUGGGCGAAAGCCUGAUGCAGCCAUUCCGCGUGUAUGAGGAAGGCCUUCGGGUUGUAAAAUACUUUCAGCGGGGAGGCGUUACCCGCAGAAGAAGCACCGGCUAACUCCGUGCCAGCAGCCGCGGUAAUAC